GAUGAACGCUAGCUGCAGGCCUAACACAUGCAAGUCGAGGGGAAACGCUGAGAGAGCUUGCUCUUUCAGGCGUCGACUGGCGCACGGGUGAGUAACGCGUAUCCAACCUACCCAUUACAGGGGGAUAACCUUGCGAACUUAUGAUAAAUACCCCAUGGCCUUUUAGGGUGGCACCAUUGUAGGAUUAAAGUUUUAUUGGUAAUGGAGGGGGAUGCGUCUGAUUAGCUUGGUGGCGGAGUAACGGCCCAACAAGGCAACGAACAGGAGGUGUUCGGAGAGGAAGGUACCCCGGAUGGGAACUACGACACAGACCACACUCCUACGGGAGGGAGCAGUAUGGAAUAUUAGGCAAUGGAGGAGGGCUUGACCCAGCCAAGUAGCGUGCAAAGGGACGGCGCUAGGAGUUGUAAACUGCUUUUAUAGAGGAAUAAAGUGAGCUACGUGUACUUUAUUGCAGGUACCCAAUGAAUAAGCACCGGCUAACUCCGUG
RNAcentral lists this ribosomal RNA (490 nucleotides) under uncultured bacterium. RNAcentral describes it as "partial 16S ribosomal RNA". It matches the Rfam family "Bacterial small subunit ribosomal RNA", at positions 28 to 507 of the family's 1533-position model. The record is from RNAcentral.